This 542-nucleotide ribosomal RNA is filed under the name uncultured bacterium. RNAcentral's name for it is "partial 16S ribosomal RNA". It matches the Rfam family "Bacterial small subunit ribosomal RNA", at positions 355 to 885 of the family's 1533-position model. The record is from RNAcentral.
UGGGGAAUAUUGCACAAUGGGCGCAAGCCUGAUGCAGCCAUGCCGCGUGUGUGAAGAAGGCCUUCGGGUUGUAAAGCACUUUCAGCGAGGAGGAAGGUGGUGAACUUAAUACGUUCAUCAAUUGACGUUACUCGCAGAAGAAGCACCGGCUAACUCCGUGCCAGCAGCCGCGGUAAUACGGAGGGUGCAAGCGUUAAUCGGAAUUACUGGGCGUAAAGCGCACGCAGGCGGUUUGUUAAGUCAGAUGUGAAAUCCCCGGGCUCAACCUGGGAACUGCAUUUGAAACUGGCAAGCUAGAGUCUCGUAGAGGGGGGUAGAAUUCCAGGUGUAGCGGUGAAAUGCGUAGAGAUCUGGAGGAAUACCGGUGGCGAAGGCGGCCCCCCUGGACGAAGACUGACGCUCAGGUGCGAAAGCGUGGGGCAGCAAACAGGAUUAGAUACCCUGGUAGUCCAGCGCUGUAAACGAUGUCGAUUUGGAGGUUGUGCCCUUGAGGCGUGGCUUCCGGAGCUAACGCGUUAAAGUCGACCGCCUGGGGAGUACGG